This is a long non-coding RNA of Dama dama (fallow deer), 1930 nucleotides long. RefSeq lists it as uncharacterized. The transcript is spliced from 3 exons. The record is from RefSeq and is a predicted model, not a curated record. NCBI's taxonomy places the organism in Eukaryota, Metazoa, Chordata, Mammalia, Artiodactyla, Cervidae.
GGAACUGCUGCUUCCUGCCUGCUCCCACUGUGCCGUGUUCACAACGAUGUAUUACAUCACCUAACCCAGGCUGACCAGAGAAUUCUGUGAACUCUCCACCAGCUGGACAUGGACUUGUGUCCUCCUGGGCUUUGAUGCCUUCAUUGUCUUCUGUGACCUGGUUACUCACCCCCUUCAGAGCCAGUGAGUCAUGUGAAAGAACAUCUCAAUCAUCUUGAAAAACGUGUCUGAUCUGAGCUCCUGUGGUCCUCACUCACGAACGCUCACCAGGAUGCCUGUGAUGCCCUCUGAUUACGGGCAGAUCCUCGGCUGCAGAGAUGACGGACAUGAUCGUGAGGCCUCUGUUCUCUGCACUUAGUUGAGCUUUUCCAAGGAGUGACUACAGAGUGGCUUCUCCUUGGGCACGGUGGCUGCCUGAUGGAUCUGGAAUCAUGUUUGUCUCUGAUGCUGGCUUUAGGGUGGCUUCACUUCUGAGCAGUGGCCUGCCAGCCUCCUGUGUCACAGUCACAUUCCAUUAGUGCUAGAAUGUCCCACUUUCUAUUUCCUGACGGACAUGGCAGUUUCCUUUCUUUGAAUCAAAGGGGCAUUUCCUACAGAAUGCAUUGCAGGACUGUGGACUGGUUCCGAGUUGCUGAAGGCAUUAAUCUGAACUGAUAAACUCUGUCUCUUCUGGCCCUCAUUCCAUAGAAGUCUUAUUUUUCCAAAUAAGCCCAGAGAUACAGACAACCUAACUCAGUCCCUGUUUCCCUGUCAAGGAAUGAAGAAGCCAUCUUGGUAGACUGUCUUUCCUUUGAAACAUUGUACAAAAGAUGUAGACUUUCAGCUGGGACCAGGGAUGAGCAUCCUCUAGAUCCAGGCAUGAAGUCAGGCAUCUGGACACACAUCUGUCUCUGAUGGAUGCCCAGGUGGACUUCUUCCUGGCACCCUCCUGGGCAUUUUUCCCAAAAGAGUGAUCGAUCUCUUCUUGAUUCAGGAUUUAAAUGUGCUUCAGUGUUCUAAAUAAAUGCUACUUUGUUUUCUAUGGCUGCUAUUUUGGUAGAUCUUUUUAUGCUGCUCUAAUAUUUUAAAUAAAAAAGGGACAGAUUUUUAAAAGUUUUGCACAAAUGCAAAAUGCUUUUUUAAGCAGUAAUUAGUCUAGUAUGGCUCUUAUAAUGUGCAAUGCAAGAAUGGUGAUGUGUUUAUUUAGGACUAUUUAAGAUAGCUUAUGGGGCUUCCCUGACAGCUCAGUUGGUAAAGAAUCCGCAUGUAAAUGAUUUUAUACAACAUGGAAAAAUAUGUAAAAUCUAAGUAAAAAGAUAUCUUUACUCUAAAAUAAAAGGCUCAUAUAUUAAUCAUAUUGAACCUUAUUAGAAGAUACCUACCAGAGUUGGUGAUAUAAGCUCAUGACCCUCAAAUGCAGAGUUGUAAUGCACCACUAAAUUAAUAUACUGGUACAUUCUGCAGGCAGAGACAUUAAAUUUUUAACAGUGCGAUUGACUGCAUGUAGUUCCACCUUCAAACAUGACGCUUGUGAAAAAUUGCAAAAGCCAUGCUCCUGGUAUGUGAUAUAUGUUACUGGUUUCUAAAAUACUAAGAGAAAAAGAUCUACUUUCUGUUCUGAUUUAGCCAAAACCCAGUCUGCAAAGAGAUUUACACAGUCUCAGCAACAGUCAGGAGAUCACUGCAGGAAACAAAACACUACACUGUCUUCUGAGUUUCUCCCGUACAGCUAAUUCAUGACAUUUGGAGUUAAAGAGAUAAUAUAAUUACAGUGGGGGAAAAACUGUCCCUUAAAGCCUUUUUUGAAAAAGAGUAUAGUAAAUUUCUGUUGUGUUGAUUUGAUUGCCAUUUUAGGAUACCUGAAAUAUCUCUCUGUACACCUGUGAUUUUUUUUUUUAAACAUUUUAAAAAUAUAUGACAAAGGCCAGUUACUGUCAUCUACAUAGACAUU